This 68-nucleotide transfer RNA is filed under the name Curculionoidea sp. 30 KM-2017. RNAcentral's name for it is "tRNA-Trp". Lineage: Eukaryota; Metazoa; Arthropoda; Insecta; Coleoptera. The record is from RNAcentral.
AAGAAUUUAAGUUAAAUUAAACUGUUGACCUUCAAAGUCAAAUAUAAAUCACAUAAAUUUAAUUCUUA